GGGCGUGGCCACGUGGUGGCCAGGGGGGGCCACGGCCACCAUUGGUCAGAGAAUGACCACCCUGCCGGCCCCCCCAACCUCACGGCACGGCAAAAAAAAAAAAAUACAAAAAACCCACCUGAAUAGAAACGGUAUAAAGCUGAAAUAAGUGCAUUCAUAUUUUUUUUAUCAAGUCGUCUUAUAUUGUCAUUUGCCAUAUUUGCAACAUGUUGGGCCACGCCUCCAUCAACAGCGCAAGACACAAACCAACGGGCCGGCAUUCUGACAGCGCUUCAAUGGAGACUAGCAGCUAACCACUGGAUACCACUGUAACUAACAGACAUUUCCAAGUCCAGGGGUGAAGCUCCAGCGCAACCUCAACUAAAUUUCCCCAAGACACUCCAGGGAAACCGAAACAGGAGCUUCAAGGGUGACUGGUAUGUAGUCCACCCCUGGUUAGAAUACUCCAUAAGUGAAGACUCUACCUCUAACAAACAAAAAAGAGAAUUAUGUAAAAUGAUUUACAUGGAUCUACCUACACUCACUGACUCACUCACUCACACACACACACACACACACACACACACAAGCAAACAAAGCGUGCCCCUUGUAGACCUGGUUUGUCAGUGCUCUGUUUUCAUUCAGCACCACAAUCUGUUUGAUGUAGUAAGCUAGUGAUAUUGUUCACUGUUUGUAGUGAUACUGUUCAAUGUACAUUAUACAUAUUGUUGAUAUUUUUUUUCUUUA
Molecule: long non-coding RNA, 726 nt
Organism: Clupea harengus (Atlantic herring)
Lineage: Eukaryota; Metazoa; Chordata; Actinopteri; Clupeiformes; Clupeidae
Exons: 2
Source: RefSeq, a predicted model, not a curated record